RNAcentral lists this ribosomal RNA (775 nucleotides) under uncultured Neocallimastigales. Its description in RNAcentral is "partial large subunit ribosomal RNA". It matches the Rfam family "Eukaryotic large subunit ribosomal RNA", at positions 26 to 641 of the family's 3401-position model. Lineage: Eukaryota; Fungi; Neocallimastigomycota; Neocallimastigomycetes; Neocallimastigales. The record is from RNAcentral.
CGCAUCUGUGCAUGCAGCAUAUCAAUAAGCGGAGGAAAAGAAACUAACAAGGAUUCCCCUAGUAACGGCGAGUGAAGCGGGAAGAGCUCAAAUUUGAAAUCUUAAAGGGUCUCCCUUUACGAAUUGUAGUUUAAAGAAGUGUUUUCUGUUGAGGUUUUGGUAAAAGUUCUUUGGAAUAGGACAUCAUAGAGGGUGAGAAUCCCGUAUUUGACCUUUACUUUCAACUUUGUGAUACACUUUCAAAGAGUCGGAUUGUUUGGGAAUGCAGUCCAAAAUGGGUGGUAAAUUUCAUCUAAAGCUAAAUAUUGGCGAGAGACCGAUAGCGAACAAGUACCGUGAGGGAAAGAUGAAAAGAACUUUGAAAAGAGAGUUAAACAGUACGUGAAAUUGUCAAAAGGGAAGCGUUUGACACCAGUGUUGUUUUUCUGAAAAUCAAUUAAAGAACUGUUUAUGCUAAGCUUGUUUAGACUUUAUCAGCUAACUGUUUAGUUUUGAGCUUUUCUUUAAUGCACUUUUCAGUUAACAAGUCAACAUCAAUUUCUUUUGCUGUAAAAAAGCUUGAGGAAGGUGGCUUGAGAUUCGUCUUAAGUGUUUAUAGCCUCUUGCCUAUGCAGUCGGAGAGAUUGAGGUCUGCAGCGUAGAUCCUUCGGGGCUAAAUGCAUUUGUGCUAAGUUAUAGCAUUUUAUAGACAACUUGUUGACUAUGAUUUGUCUUGUAGCUUACUCGCUUAUGUUAUUUUACCUACGCUUAGGAUGUUGAACGCGCACAGAGUCUC